Schizosaccharomyces pombe (fission yeast) is the source of this 380-nucleotide non-coding RNA. The record is from the annotation of a GenBank genome assembly. NCBI's taxonomy places the organism in Eukaryota, Fungi, Ascomycota, Schizosaccharomycetes, Schizosaccharomycetales, Schizosaccharomycetaceae.
AGAUGGAGAAGUUUCGCUUACACCAGUAUUGCAGAUCGUAACGUCAGAUGUCUGUAAUAAUACUUUGUUUUUAGCAUUGUACAUUUGACAGUUAUGGUUAACUAGGAUUACCUUUCCUCUAGGACUUUAAAGAUUUUAUCAGCUAGUUCAAAAAGAAAAACGGUAAUGUAGCAACUACUUGCCUUACAUAUUUGUUAAUAUAUAUCUCCCAGAUAUUAUAGGGUAGGCAAAUUUAUUGAAUGCACGUUCAAGUUGUCUAAAGCUAAGUCAAGCAAUUACGUUUUUCAAAAUUGAAAGAAGAAACAUAAUUAUUGUAAGGUUAAGUGAACAAGCAAGUAGACUUAUUAACCUAUGCAAAUAUUGCUUUUACUUAAGAGGAA